AGGGGGGGACGACCCCCCCCCCCUAAUAAAUUGAGGGGGGGGGGGACGUGUCCCCC
Molecule: non-coding RNA, 56 nt
Filed under: Strongylocentrotus purpuratus (purple sea urchin)
Lineage: Eukaryota; Metazoa; Echinodermata; Echinoidea; Camarodonta; Strongylocentrotidae
Description: Guanidine-II sequence
Rfam family: Guanidine-II riboswitch aptamer (mini-ykkC)
About the family: Simpler in structure and has fewer highly conserved nucleotide positions than the ykkC-yxkD leader. Despite this each of its two stem-loop structures directly bind free guanidine.
Source: RNAcentral